Molecule: ribosomal RNA, 253 nt
Filed under: uncultured bacterium
Lineage: Bacteria
Description: partial 16S ribosomal RNA
Rfam family: Bacterial small subunit ribosomal RNA
Source: RNAcentral
UACGUAGGUGACAAGCGUUGUCCGGAUUUACUGGGCGUAAAGAGCGCGCAGGCGGUCGAUCAAGUCGAGUGUGAAAGCCCCCGGCUCAACUGGGGAGGGUCAUUCGAUACUGAUCGACUCGAAGGCAGGAGAGGGUAGUGGAAUUCCCGGUGUAGUGGUGAAAUGCGUAGAUAUCGGGAGGAACACCAGUGGCGAAGGCGGCUAUCUGGGCUGCAACUGACGCUGAGGCGCGAAGGCUAGGGUAGCAAACAGG